AUGGAAGGCCCCGUCCCUGCCCCCUCCUCCUCCGCCGCGCCCGCCGUCGCUAGGGUUCCGGCCGCCGCGCCCUCCGCUGCCGCGGCCCCGCAGCCUCUCGCCGCGCAGCAGGCGCCUGCCGCCGCGGUCGCGGGAGCCGCGGCGGGGUGCCGCAGGCAGGUGUUCUCCGUGGAGCUCCGGCCCGGGGAGACCACCAUCGUGUCGUGGAAGAAGCUGCUGAAGGAGGCUGGGCACGCGGCGGCCGCACCUUCGCAGCCGCUGGCAGUGGUACCGGCGGAGCCUGCAGUUGCUGCACAACCGGGCCCGCCUGCUGCGGCACCCCCUGCAGAAAAUGACGCAGAGGAUCCAGCGCAGCCAAAUCGGUUUAAUGCCGUUAUCGAGAAAAUUGAGCGCCUUUACAUGGGUAAACAUAGCAGCGAUGAAGAAGAUCUUGAUGAUGUACCGGACGACGAUCAAUAUGACACUGAUGAUUCUUUUAUUGAUGAUGCUGAAUUGGAUGAAUAUUUUGAAGUUGAUAAUUUGACGACUAAGCACACUGGUUUUUUUGUUAACAAAGGGACAUUGGAACAGAUUGAACCUGGUACAUCAGCAAAUGUCGCGCCAAAGAAAAGGAGAAGCAAAGACCAGUCAGCUGAUCAUAUUGAAAAUAAUCAGGGUGCUACAGGUGAUUAUUUGAAGCCUGGGAAAGCAAGCGGUCUGAAAAAAGUAGCUACUGGCAAUGGUGAAUAUUACCAUGAAGGCAGCAGAGUGGUGAAGACUAAACCCAGCGCAACCGGAGUCCUAAAAAGGAGAUCGACUGAUUUUGCCGCAGGUGUUGAUUCUACAAAACGUACAAAGAUAUCUAGUAAGGAUGUGUCAUAUUCCUCUUCAAAAGAGCUAAAAGACCUAGAAAAGUAUAAAGCUCCGGCAUUCCAGCCUACUGAUUUUGGUAAUAAGUCAACAACCAGUGAGACACAUGGCUACGCUUCAGCGUGCAGGGAUAAAGAUCCUUCAACACAACUUGAUUUUCAACAAAAACAGACUUACAAUGGGGAAAAUGAAGAUCCGACCAGCAAAAUAUAUCGCAAAGAUAUAGCUGGAACGAACGACUUCUCUAGCAUGGAUGUGUCUGGUGCUGCCUAUCCUACACAAGCAAUGCACCUGACCACUGGCAGGGAGAGUGCAGGUACCAAACCUAAAGGCACUAGGCUUGAGCGAGCCAUUCGGGAUCUCCAAAAGAUUGCUGCUAAUUACAAAUCGCCAGCUAUUGAUAUUAGUGAGGCUGACCCAAAUGUUCAGGCAUCAGCUCAAAGACGCUUGCCUCCAGAAGUAAAGCAAAAGCUUGCCAAGGUUGCAAGGCUAUCGACAAAUCAUGGAAAGGUACAAGAAAAUGAGUUGAUGGAUCGGCUCAUGGGCAUAGUUGGACACCUUGUUGUGCGUAGGACACUGAAGAGAAACAUGAAGGAAUUGGUAAAAUCAGGACUCUCUGCUAAACAAGAGAAGGCUGAUAGGUUGCAGCAAGUAAAAAUGGAGAUCAAUGAAAUGGUCAAAGCAAGUAUGGCUGCCAAGGCCAAGGUCAAUGAACAACAAGAUGGCUCAGCUGAUGAUUUUCAGACCGUCACUGACGAAAGAAGAGAUUUGAAAGGAAAGUCUGCAAUGAAUAGUGCACUGGAGGACAGAAUAUGUGAUCUGUAUGAUCUGUAUGUUGAGGGUAUGGAUGAAGACAAGGGUCCUCAAAGCAGGAAACUAUAUGUUGAGCUUGCAGAAUUAUGGCCACAAGGUUACAUGGAUAAAUUUGGAAUCAAAGAUGCCAUAUCUAGAUCAAAGGAGCGAAAGGGAACAUUACACAACCAACAGAAGGUUCUGAAUGAGGAGAGACUGAAGCGGAAAAGGCUGGCUGCGGCAGCGAAACUGCCAGAUAGCUACCCUGUUGUAACACAAAGCACAGCGGCCAUGCAAGUGGCACAUCCAUCCAUGUCCAACCCCGUUACAACAUACCCUGUGACUGACUAUGGACAGAACCAGGUCCCGAAAAGUCUUGAAAGGGUUCGCGAAACGAGCUCAAGUGCAAUAGCUGAUGAGAGCAGCAAAAAUGCUGGUGACAUGAAGAAGAAGAAAAGGAAGUCGGAUCCUGAUGUUGUCGAUACACAAGCCAACAUUGUUACCAUGCCCACCGUGCUUGGUCUCCCUUUCUAUGACCAACAACCAAGCUGA
This 2193-nucleotide ribosomal RNA is filed under the name Triticum aestivum (bread wheat). RNAcentral's name for it is "partial small subunit ribosomal RNA". Lineage: Eukaryota; Viridiplantae; Streptophyta; Magnoliopsida; Poales; Poaceae. The record is from RNAcentral.